CAACACAUGCAUAGAUUUUGAGAGGUUUCGGUAUUUAUUCUAAUCUAUGAUGUGAAUGAAUAUGGACAGUUAUUAGAAGCCUUAAUAGCGAUAAAUGAUUCCUCCUGGCAGUGGUACUAAACAUCACCUGAUGGUGGCAGUAAUGCAGCAAGAGCCACGUUUGUUACACACAAAGAAGGUGGUAGUGGCUAUCUUUCAGCUCAUCAUGCACUGUAUUCCUCAUAUCUCAGAGCUUGAAAAUUUUUGGCCUCCUAAUUGAAAAAGUAGUCAACUAUGACAAUGUCAGAGCGCCACAUGGGGAACUUGGGUCAAAUCCAUCGACCAGUAGUUGCUUGAAAGCCAAUGAAUAUGACAGUACCCUCAGAGGCAAUAUAAAGGUACAGUGGUCCCUCGCUAUAACGCGGUUCACCUUUCGCAGCCUCGCAGUUUUGUGGAUUUUUUUAGUGCCAUUUUGCAUGCCUUUUUUUUUUUUUUUUUUUUUUUAACAGCACAUUUUCUGCGUCCUUAUCAGGCGGGCCGGUCACGGCACCAGUCGGCAUCACUGCGAUCGCGAUUGCUUUCACUGCCUGCAAUGCGCUUACUGAGUCUGCGGGCUCGGUAAACGCAGCAGCGGGUCACUCACACAGCCCUCCUGUCUGCUGUGCGGAGCUGCGCCAAAUCUGGCAACAGGUCCAGAGACUACGCUCGCUGUUUUGAUGCGGAUGUUGACCGCAGCCACAGUCUGCUCCACUGGGGAGAAAAUCACGAAUGGGCAUGAAUGUGGGGGCUUUUACUUUUAAAUUCGGGAGAAAUCUCACCUCCACACUUCAUUUUUUGCUCGUAAAAACGUAUAACGGCGCCUUUUAAAACAAAGUA
Molecule: long non-coding RNA, 855 nt
Organism: Thalassophryne amazonica
Lineage: Eukaryota; Metazoa; Chordata; Actinopteri; Batrachoidiformes; Batrachoididae
Exons: 3
Source: RefSeq, a predicted model, not a curated record